AACGAACGCUGGCGGCAGGCCUAACACAUGCAAGUCGAACGCUCUAGCAAUAGAGAGUGGCAGACGGGUGAGUAACGCGUGGGAACCUACCUAGUGGUACGGAAUAGCUCAGGGAAACUUGGGGUAAUACCGUAUGCGCCCGAAAGGGGAAAGAUUUAUCGCCAUUAGAUGGGCCCGCGUAGGAUUAGCUAGUUGGUGAGGUAAUGGCUCACCAAGGCAACGAUCCUUAGCUGGUUUGAGAGAAUGACCAGCCACACUGGGACUGAGACACGGCCCAGACUCCUACGGGAGGCAGCAGUGGGGAAUCUUGGACAAUGGGCGCAAGCCUGAUCCAGCCAUGCCGCGUGAGUGACGAAGGCCUUAGGGUUGUAAAGCUCUUUUGGCGGGGACGAUAAUGACGGUACCCGCAGAAUAAGCCCGGCUAACUUCGUG
Molecule: ribosomal RNA, 432 nt
Filed under: uncultured bacterium
Lineage: Bacteria
Description: bacterial SSU rRNA
Rfam family: Bacterial small subunit ribosomal RNA
Source: RNAcentral